ACCUACAAUGGAACCUUUCAUCGAGCGACACCCGGAUUAUCUAGCGAAUUAUAUCAAAGAAUCAAGCCAAAAAUUAGUAAUCCAUGAAACUCGUAUUUCUCUUGAAUGCCCUUUUGAAGAAAACUUUGGCGCCAAUAUUUUUAUUGAAAGGGGUCAUUCAACGGAUGAACGAGUGCCAUGUGAUUCCUAAUUUUUGACUCGAUUUUUUGAUAUAACUCGGCAGAUAAUCCCGGUGGUAGAGUUGCCAGCAAGCCGGCUUAUUGAGUUGUGAGUCAAAACGAGUCGACUCAUUGAGUUGUAAGUCGAAACAAGCCGAGUCAGAAGCAAGCCGGCUUGGCUUGACUCGACUCAUUAAGAAUCUGAGUGAGUCGAGUGAGUCGAGGCAGCUUAUUGAAGAAGCAUAUGUACAUACGUAUGCACGCUGGUCCGGAAUAUUGAAUUUCUUGGCCAAAACCUAUUCUCUCCGAUCCGAAAACAAACUACCCUCUUCAGUACCUUUGACAUAGAUGUUCAAUUGUGGAAAGUUUCAUUUGAAUUGUUCCAGUGGUUAUGGCGUGGCAUAUGCCUAAACUUGACUUAUAACAUUGGGCUAAAUGGGGAAAAUUUCAAGUUGAAAAUCCUGUCUAGUCCUGUGGUAUUUCGAGAAACUGUUAGUAUGUUAUUAAACCCUUAUAUCUCAUCUACAAAAACGGCUGCCCCUUUUUGCCCCUUUUGCAGAUUGGCAGAGAAAUUUGAGUUUAUGCAAAGGCAAAUUGUAAAAGCAAAAUAUCUGGAGUGCUCCAAUCAUUGCUAUGUAUGAAAUUUUUGAGUGUUCCAAAUAAUACAAUCGCUUCAAAAUAUCUUCCCCAUUCCUUGGGUAAGGGAACAUGGUAAAACAAAUCCCUUCAAAAAAUUUAUUACCAAGGGGGGAUUUUAUGACGUUGUGGCCCCCUGCGGAGGGACGACGAAUUUUUUAAUUUUGGCCGUUUUCUUUGGUAAUGAGAUCAGAGGGCAGAAAUACUUAAUAAAACUAUAGAAUAUUGUCAUUCGAUAAAAAUUCAUCCUCAAAUACAUCGAAACAAAAUUUUGAAAUUUACAUUUUAACCCCACCCCCUUGCGGUGGGUGUGCCGAUAAUGUCCCAAUGUUGUGGUUGAAUUGUAUAGAGCUUGAUGAGACCUUUUGAAUGAUACCCUACUUGAUGGGGUAACGCGAGAAAAUUAUUAUUUGCCUUUGACCACACCCCUAAAGGGGUGUGGCUAUCAAUGAAUCUUCCAUAACUUAUACCCUUCGAACUUCAUAUCUCGAUUCCCGAAGGCAGUAUUCGAAAAAAAUAAUUUGUUCCAAAGUUAUAGGUUUUGGCAAGCAAAUAAGCCAAUCCAGACCAGUGUGGUAUGCAUGCAUUUUGUGUUUACCCAGUGGGCUGAUGCUAUCUGUAAGUAGCUCGUAACGGGAAAACCACUCGAGAUAAUCAAAAUCUGAUAAGUGCAUUGUAUUCUACGCGCGAUUUUACAUAGAUACCACAAGUUCGUUUUUAACUGAUUAGAAAGCAUAUCAGCAGGGAAAAUCUUGAAAUGACGCGGGUGGUGAUAAUUUUUCACUUAAAAAAUGGCGAGAGAAAUAGUGAAUAUGAAAAGCUUGAAAGGAAUCGAACGUGCGCUUUAAUUUAGUUCAACGAACCAUAAGACAUUCAUCUGGACCUGGCCUACUAAGAACAGUUGAAGUAGGAAUUUUUUGAAAACCUACAAGGACGACACCCAUGCUGAAGGGGCUGAAAGCCGAAAUCAGGAGGAAUCUACGAAAUUACAACGGAAAAUAGCCUCACAGCUGACAUUGUCGAUGCACCGUAUUCAACGAGUGCUCAAACUGAACCCUGAACUUAAGGCUUUGGAACGUAGCACUUGCCGCAUGCUUACCAUCCCCCAAAAGAAAACCAGGUUAAAGAAAUGCAGGGCUCUCUUUAAGCGGUGAGCGCGGAUUAGGGGUAAUUUCUCCACAUUUUGUUGAAACGGGGAGGAAGGUCAAAGAAAAAAAUUCUUGAAAUACGUUUUUGAGUCCGAGGUACAUCUACUAAAUGAGAUCCAAGUCAAUGGAGUCGACUGGACCUCGCUAUGGGACACAGUACCACUACAUAUUCCAAAAAAUGAGCCAAGGGACGCUAAAAACCAAAUUCCGAACUUUAUUUCCGCUGGGAAAUUGUCGUCCUCUUUGUUGGAUUUGAAUCUCUGGACUAUGAAAAACGGUCAAAGUUAGGGGAAAAUGUGUGUUCUAAGCCUCGUAGAAGUGUCGCGGCUUUAGAAAAUUAUUUGACCCCGGAAUGAUACAAUUUGUCCAUGGAUUCAGCGUGUGCUCCAGUCGAGGACUGGAGGCGACAUCUUCAGCGCUGCAUUAAUGGAGGGGGAGUAAAUUCUGAAAACUAAAAAUUGAUUUCUACUCAGAAAUUAAGUGGCUUUCUAUUAAAAUUAACUAUAAAUGUGAAGCACAAAAACCCUUGAUGCUACAGCGCUUCAUUUCACUUACAGUUACUGAGGGCCACCCUGUACAAGUUGGAGCGAGCUGAAUUUGUUUGUGUAUGUGUGUAAGUACGGGGAGGCGGAGCCAGCCGGCUUAUUGAGUGAGUGAGUCAAGCCGAG
This is a long non-coding RNA of Folsomia candida, 2610 nucleotides long. RefSeq lists it as uncharacterized. The record is from RefSeq and is a predicted model, not a curated record. The transcript has 2 exons. NCBI's taxonomy places the organism in Eukaryota, Metazoa, Arthropoda, Collembola, Entomobryomorpha, Isotomidae.